GCCCUGCUGGCGUAGUGGUAGCGCGUCUCACUUGUACCAACAAGGUCAAUGAGAAGGUCACUAGUUCAAUCCUGGUGUGGGGCA
RNAcentral lists this transfer RNA (84 nucleotides) under Agaricus bisporus var. burnettii. It matches the Rfam family "tRNA". Rfam says of the family: Transfer RNA (tRNA) molecules are approximately 80 nucleotides in length. Their secondary structure includes four short double-helical elements and three loops (D, anti-codon, and T loops). RNAcentral also lists the same sequence under 2 other names. The record is from Rfam by way of RNAcentral. Lineage: Eukaryota; Fungi; Basidiomycota; Agaricomycetes; Agaricales; Agaricaceae.